Neocallimastix lanati (nom. inval.) is the source of this 82-nucleotide non-coding RNA. The record is from the annotation of a GenBank genome assembly. Lineage: Eukaryota; Fungi; Neocallimastigomycota; Neocallimastigomycetes; Neocallimastigales; Neocallimastigaceae.
GUCACUUUGGCGGAGUGGUUAAUCUGGUGGCCUGCUAACCCAUUUCCCUUUGGGAGUGCUGGUUGGAGUCCUGUAGGUGACG